UGAACCAGCGGAGGGAUC
This 18-nucleotide ribosomal RNA is filed under the name Fusarium graminearum. Its description in RNAcentral is "partial 18S ribosomal RNA". Lineage: Eukaryota; Fungi; Ascomycota; Sordariomycetes; Hypocreales; Nectriaceae. The record is from RNAcentral.